RNAcentral lists this long non-coding RNA (555 nucleotides) under Sorghum bicolor (sorghum). RNAcentral describes it as "long non-coding RNA (SBIC_LNC005573)". Lineage: Eukaryota; Viridiplantae; Streptophyta; Magnoliopsida; Poales; Poaceae. The record is from RNAcentral.
CUCGCACGACGCCACCAUCCACGGCCUCGCCGCCAUGCUCAGGGAUAGGUACCCCGAGUACGACAUCCCGGAGAGGUUCCCCGGGAUUGAGGACGACCUCCAGCCCGUGCACUUCUCGUCCAAGAAGCUCCUAGACCAUGGCUUCACUUUCAAGUACACGGUGGAGGACAUGUUCGACGCCGCCAUCCGAAUGUGCCGGGAGAAGGGCCUCAUCCCCCUCGCCACGGCCGGAGGGGGGAGGGCUCUGCCUUAGUGCGCGCGACCUCCAGCCCGUGCACUUCUCGUCCAAGAAGCUCCUAGACCAUGGCUUCACUUUCAAGCUCAUAGUGUUCUCGUGUUGUUUUAUACCGAAAUAAAUGUUACUCCGCAUUUUAUUUCAGCUUACGCCUUGCCCCUAUAGUAGAGAUCCUACAAAUAAGUUGUCUGUAUUCUUUUUACAACAACUCAAAACACAUGUCUUCGUAAAUUCAACAGAAUUUCUUAUAUGAAAACUAUCUAUGUACAGGGAACAUUAUUUUUAAUGAACGUUUUCUCCAUCCCAGUCUUCGAGUGUGU